This 634-nucleotide ribosomal RNA is filed under the name Bacillus sp. (in: firmicutes). RNAcentral's name for it is "bacterial SSU rRNA". It matches the Rfam family "Bacterial small subunit ribosomal RNA", at positions 48 to 662 of the family's 1533-position model. The record is from RNAcentral. Lineage: Bacteria; Bacillati; Bacillota; Bacilli; Caryophanales; Bacillaceae.
CUAAUACAUGCAGUCGAGCGGAUGUGAUGGGAGACUUGCGUCCCUGAAAUCAGCGGCGGACGGGUGAGUAACACGUGGGUAACCUGCCUGUAAGACUGGGAUAACUCCGGGAAACCGGGGCUAAUACCGGAUAGUUCUUUUCCUCGCAUGAGGAAAAGUGGAAAGGCGGCUUCGGCUGCCACUUACAGAUGGACCCGCGGCGCAUUAUCUAGUUGGUGAGGUAACGGCUCACCAAGGCAACGAUGCGUAGCCGACCUGAGAGGGUGAUCGGCCACACUGGGACUGAGACACGGCCCAGACUCCUACGGGAGGCAGCAGUAGGGAAUCUUCCGCAAUGGACGAAAGUCUGACGGAGCAACGCCGCGUGAGUGAUGAAGGUUUUCGGAUCGUAAAGCUCUGUUGUUAGGGAAGAACAAGUGCCGUUCGAAUAGGGCGGCACCUUGACGGUACCUAACCAGAAAGCCACGGCUAACUACGUGCCAGCAGCCGCGGUAAUACGUAGGUGGCAAGCGUUGUCCGGAAUUAUUGGGCGUAAAGCGCGCGCAGGCGGUCUCUUAAGUCUGAUGUGAAAGCCCACGGCUCAACCGUGGAGGGUCAUUGGAAACUGGGGGACUUGAGUACAGAAGAGGAAAGU